CAGCAGCCGCGGUAAUACGUAGGUGGCAAGCGUUGUCCGGAAUUAUUGGGCGUAAAGGGCUCGCAGGCGGUUUCUUAAGUCUGAUGUGAAAGCCCCUGGCUCAACCGGGGAGGGUCAUUGGAAACUGGGAAACUUGAGUGCAGAAGAGGAGAGUGGAAUUCCACGUGUAGCGGUGAAAUGCGUAGAGAUGUGGAGGAACACCAGUGGCGAAGGCGACUCUCUGGUCUGUAACUGACGCUGAGGAGCGAAAGCGUGGGGAGCGAACAGGAUUAGAUACCCCGGUAGUCCCUGUCUCUUAUAC
RNAcentral lists this ribosomal RNA (301 nucleotides) under uncultured bacterium. RNAcentral describes it as "partial 16S ribosomal RNA". It matches the Rfam family "Bacterial small subunit ribosomal RNA", at positions 509 to 807 of the family's 1533-position model. The record is from RNAcentral.